GACGAACGCUGGCGGCGUGCUUAACACAUGCAAGUCGAACGGAAAGGCCCCUUUGGGGGUCCUCGGGUGGCGAACGGGGGGGUAACACGCGAGUAACCUGCCCUUGACUUCGGGAUAACUUCACUAAAAUCGGGCUAAUACCGCGUAGGAAUGAUUUCUGCCUUGUGGGUGUUGGAAAGUUUCGUCGGUUUUGGGUGGACUUGCGGCCUAUCCGCUUGUUGGUUGGGUAGUGGCUUACCGAGGCUGUGACGGGGAGCCGGCCUGGGAGGGCGACCGGCAACAUUGGGACUGAGAUACGGCCCAGACUCCGACGGGAGGCAGCAGUGGGGAAUAUUGCACAAGGGGCAGGAGCCAGAUGCAGCAACGCCGCGUGCGGGAUGACGGCCUUCGGGUUGUAAACCGAUUUCAGCAGGGGCGAAGCUUGUGGUGACGGUACCUGCAGAAGAAGCACCGGCUAACUACGUG
Molecule: ribosomal RNA, 465 nt
Filed under: uncultured bacterium
Lineage: Bacteria
Description: partial 16S ribosomal RNA
Rfam family: Bacterial small subunit ribosomal RNA
Source: RNAcentral